RNAcentral lists this long non-coding RNA (818 nucleotides) under Marmota monax (woodchuck). The record is from RNAcentral. Lineage: Eukaryota; Metazoa; Chordata; Mammalia; Rodentia; Sciuridae.
UGAAUCCUGAGGCCAACACAGCAAGCUCACCUGUGCAGAGUCAGGACAGGGACUUUUGUGAGCCUGGGGGCGGGGGUCUGUGCCUGGGCACCAGGUCCCUGCUGUACAGGUCAAGGGGAGGCCCCAGGCUCUUGCUGGGAGCUCCAUGGAAUUGAAGAGGAAGGUGAUGCCCUUCACGUAGACCAAGACACACUGUGGCUGUACUGCCCCGGUGGAUGUGCUGCCACCUGGUCUUCCUCAGGGCAUGGGAAAAGUUGCUGGGCCCUGGGUUUGGGUUUGAAGGCCUUGACCCCAUGGGGCCUCCUUCUCCCUUUCCUGGAGCCAUGCUGUGGGUGAUAGAACCAGCGGGUACCUGGUCACUCUGUGUCCCCAGAGCAGAUGGGCCGCAUCCUGCAGCGCACUGCCAUCUCCACCAACAUCAAGGAACGCCUGGACUUCUCCUGUGCCCUCUUUGGACCUGACGGGGGGCUGGUCUCUAAUGCCCCCCACAUUCCUGUGCAUCUGGGAGCCAUGCAGGAGACUGUGCAGUUCCAGGUGCGGCAGGCCCCCUCUCUAGCCUCCCUCGCUGACCCAUGUCCCUGCCCCACCCCCAUUCUGCACCUGUCUCCUGGUUUUAGAUCCAGCACUUGGGGUCUGAUCUCCACCCCGGUGAUGUGCUACUCAGCAACCACCCCAGCGCAGGGGGCAGCCAUCUUCCAGACCUGACUGUAAUCACACCGGUGAGGUUCACUGCCAGGCUACCUUUGUGGGGGUCACAGGUGGCUGACACAGCUGACUGUCACUCUCUACCCGCUAGGUAUUUUGGCCAGGUCAGACUC